This 378-nucleotide ribosomal RNA is filed under the name uncultured cyanobacterium. RNAcentral's name for it is "bacterial SSU rRNA". It matches the Rfam family "Bacterial small subunit ribosomal RNA", at positions 376 to 770 of the family's 1533-position model. The record is from RNAcentral. Lineage: Bacteria; Bacillati; Cyanobacteriota.
CGCAAGCCUGACGGAGCCAGACCGCGUGAGGGAAGAAAGCCUUUGGGUUGUAAACCUCUUUUCUCAGGGAAGAAACCUGACGGUACCUGAGGAAUCAGCAUCGGCUAACUCCGUGCCAGCAGCCGCGGUAAGACGGAGGAUGCAAGCGUUAUCCGGAAUUAUUGGGCGUAAAGCGUCCGCAGGUGGUGAGUCAAGUCUGCUGUCAAAGACUAGAGCUUAACUCUGGAAAGGCAGUGGAAACUGGUAGGCUAGAGUACGGUAGGGGUAGAGGGAAUUCCCAGUGUAGCGGUGAAAUGCGUAGAGAUCGGGAAGAACAUCGGUGGCGAAAGCGCUCUACUGGACGGCAACUGACACUCAGGGACGAAAGCUAGGGGAGCG